AAUGUUGAAUCUGAAUUUAUUCUUAUCGUAAAAUUCUCUUUACUUAGUUGUUUACUUUGUUUAGUAGAAUUUAUGAUCUGUAAUUAAAGGGUUUAUUAUGGAUUGCUAAACCAGUUAAUAAAUAUUAGGAAGUUCUAAACUAAAUAGAAUUCUUAUUGGAGUUCUAUCUCCUAAUGGUAAACCACUAAAUAAUUUAAGAGUACUUUGUGUUAUAACUUAAAGGAAAUUAAUAUUAUAAUAAUAACGAGAAGAAUUGAAUCAUCUUAGUAUUCUCAGGAAGAUAAAAUUAAUAUGAUUUUAGUAGUAGUGGCGAACGAAUCUUUAGUAGUCUAAUCUUACUUGGAAGUGUCUGCAUUUUUUAAUGCUUAAAUUUGGAACAACCACCAAAAGCUGAACGAGUGAGUAAUUAAGUAGAAUGGAUUUUAAAUCUGUUUGAAUAGAGGAGAACCAAUCUCCUAAGACUAAUUAUAUUAACUGAGUGAUAGUGAAUAGUACCGUGAGGGAAAGCAUUGAAAUAGUAAACCUACAAGCAAAAAUUGGGAAUUUAUAAAUUUCUUAUUUUGUACCUUUUGCAUAAUGGGUCAGCAAGUUUGAAUUAUUUGCAAGCUCUAAAGCUAAAGAAGUAAAUAGUUCAAGACCCGAAACUAAACGAUCUUACCAUGAUCAGAUUUUUAUGGAUCGAACCAGUCAUUGUUGCAAAAAUGUUGGAUGAAUUGUGGUAAGCAGUGAAAUGCUAAUCUAGUUUAGUGAUAGCUGGUAGUCCACGAAAUAGCUUUUAGGCUAGCUCUCUUUAUUUGUCUGUAGAGUGUACAGUAAUUAAUUACCUUUGAUUGAUAAAAUCAUUAAUGGGGGACUUUUUGUUUACUCAAGGUACAAGUUAAACUCGGAAAUUCUGCAUACUAAAAAGAGAAGUCAGACUUUUGGUGAUAAGGUCCAAAGUCGAAAGAGAAACAGCUCAGAACAAUUGUUUAAAGUUCCCAAAUCCAACUUAAGUGAACUGAAGAUUGUUUAUUCCCUAAUACAAUAAGAACAUGGGCUUGGAAACAGCCAUUGUCUAAGGAGUACGUAAUAGUUCACUUAUCUUUAAGGUAUCAUAUACCAUAGGGGAAUAAGUGUCGAAAAUUCAGCGGAUCUUUGAAUUAUUUUUUUCUGUAAAGUUGGUACUUAAACAUUGUAAUUCAAUUCUCAUUAAUUAAGGGUUGAAUUGGUAGUGGACCAUUCUAUAAAAAGUCGAAGAUAGGUUUUUCAAUCUAUUGGAUUUAUUAGAAGAGAUAAUGCUGACAUAAGUAACGUAAAAAAAGGUUAAAAUCCUUUUCACUGAAAACUCAAGGGUUUUGAUUCCAGGCUUAACCGAAUCAAUUAAAGUCAAUCUCUAAGUUAACUUAAUGAUGAGUAAAACUUGACCAAAAUAUUAUAGCUUUUAAAUUGAUUAUAAUAAAGUUAUCAAGAAAUCAUUUUGGUUAAUAAAUUGUACCCUAAUCCGACACUGGUGAGUUUAGCGAAUAGCUUAAGGUGAUGAGAUAACUAUGAUUAAGGAACUCGGCAAACUAACUCUGUUACUUCGGUAUAAAGAGUGUUCAUUUUUUAUGAACUCAAUAAAGAGAAUCCUACGACUGUUUACUUAAAACACAGCACAUUGCUAAGUUAAAUAAAUAACAUUGUAUAAUGUGUGAGUUCUGCCCAAUGUCCUAUGGUUAACUAGUAAGACUUUAACGAGUCCAAAGGAACCCAGGAUAAAUGGCGGCUUUAACUCUGAGGGUCCUAAGGUAGCGAAAUUCCUUGUCCGCUAAAUACGGUCCUGCAUGAAUGAAUUAACGAUAGGAUUGCUGUCUCAAUCAUAGACUCAGUGAAAUUGUAGUUGCUGUGAAGAUACAGUGCAUUCCCAGCUAGACGGAAAGACCCUGGCAGCUUUACGAUAUUCAAUAAUUGACCAUUGGUUCUAAUUGAAUCAAUUUUAUUCUGCCUUUGUUCAGUAUAGAGGUUAGUUGAUUAAACUUAACUGAGAUAUCCUCCAUAGGGGAAUAAGGUCUUUAUAGCUAAGAAGCUAGACAUUUAUUGAGUGGUCGUUUCUGUGGGGCGCAGGCCUCAUAAAUAAUAACUGAGGCAUCCGAAAGAUCUACAAAGUUUGUAUGGAAAACAAUAUUCUGCUAUCAAAAAGCUAUAAAAAAGAAUACUACGCAUAAAAGCAAAGUAGGUUAAACUGAAAGACUAACAAGUCGGACAGAUACGUAAGUAGGGUUUAAUGAUCCACAUUUAUACAGCAUGGAAAUAAAUGUGCUCAAUGAGCGAAGUUACGCCAGGGAUAACAGAUUAAUAGAGAGCUAAAGUUCGCAUCAAAUUCUCUGUUUGAUACCUCGAUGUCGACUCAGCCCAUCCUCCAGUUGCAGCAGAUUGGAAGGGUUUAACUGUUCGUUAAUUUAAAGGGCUACGUGAGUUGGGUUAAAUCCGUCGUGAGACAGGAUGGUUCCUAUCUACUGGGAAGAAAUUAAACAAUGGUAAAUCUCUUUUUUGUACGAAAGGAUUUAAAGGGCCUAAUCAAUAGUUUAACUGUUGUUUUAUUCCAAAUUCAAUCAAAAUGGACUAAAGCAUGGCAGUGAAGCCACAUUAGGGAGUUUAAGGACUGAAUGCAUCUUAAGUUCGAAAUCUCUUACCGGCGUUUAAACUUAGAAAGUAGAACACUUUCAAAAUUAGUGAAUCAUUGUCUAGAUAGAUUCAAUCCAGACAGGAUCAGUGUAAACUGCUAAUUCAAAUCUCUUAGGAGAUCGGAUUUACUAAGAAUAUUCAGAUU
This 2788-nucleotide ribosomal RNA is filed under the name Schizosaccharomyces cryophilus. RNAcentral's name for it is "large subunit ribosomal RNA". It matches the Rfam family "Bacterial large subunit ribosomal RNA". The record is from RNAcentral. Lineage: Eukaryota; Fungi; Ascomycota; Schizosaccharomycetes; Schizosaccharomycetales; Schizosaccharomycetaceae.